CAACAGGGGUGCCUAUUGGCUGAGAGAUACCCUUUGACCUGAUCUAGUUAGUACUAGCGUAGGGAGUUUGGUU
Molecule: non-coding RNA, 73 nt
Filed under: pig gut metagenome
Description: TPP riboswitch (THI element)
Rfam family: TPP riboswitch aptamer (THI element)
About the family: Vitamin B(1) in its active form thiamin pyrophosphate (TPP) is an essential coenzyme that is synthesised by coupling of pyrimidine and thiazole moieties in bacteria. The previously detected thiamin-regulatory element, thi box was extended, resulting in a new, highly conserved RNA secondary structure, the THI element, which is widely distributed in eubacteria and also occurs in some archaea.
Source: RNAcentral